UCUCUUGUCCUUUACAGGUAGAAGGCCAAGGCUCUGCAGACUCCGAGAGGGAGUGAAGGUGCUACUCCUCUGUUGACACAUGAGGCUUUGGAAAGAAAGCAGGUGCAUCAGAGAGAGACAAGAGGACAGUAGCAGCUCCAACUUGGACCAUGCGGUGGUGAGAAGGAACUGAGGGCGCAGUUGGUCUGCCCUGCCCUUUAUCGUCUCCAACAAAACCAUGAGGUGGAGCAAGGGCACGUUCCUGCAGUGGAAUACAGUAGGGACCAUCACUUGCAGAACCACCAAGAAACAUACAAAUCCCCUGUGAUCACAACGUCACUCUGGGGUCCCUGAAAGUAUGGAGAGAGGAGUCUGUAUACUGACCAAAGAGCCCUUAAAACGGAAGGUCUUCCAUUGUG
This is a long non-coding RNA of Malaclemys terrapin pileata, 398 nucleotides long. RefSeq lists it as uncharacterized. NCBI's taxonomy places the organism in Eukaryota, Metazoa, Chordata, Testudines, Emydidae. The record is from RefSeq and is a predicted model, not a curated record. The transcript is spliced from 3 exons.